AACGAACGCUGGCGGCAUGCCUAACACAUGCAAGUCGAACGAGACCUUCGGGUCUAGUGGCGCACGGGUGCGUAACGCGUGGGAACCUGCCCUUAGGUUCGGAAUAACUCCCCGAAAGGGGUGCUAAUACCGGAUAAUGUCUUCGGACCAAAGAUUUAUCGCCUUUGGAUGGGCCCGCGUUGGAUUAGCUAGUUGGUAGGGUAAAAGCCUACCAAGGCGACGAUCCAUAGCUGGUCUGAGAGGAUGAUCAGCCACACUGGGACUGAGACACGGCCCAGACUCCUGCGGGAGGCAGCAGGGGGGAAAUUUGGAAAAGGGGCGAAAGCCUGCUCCAGCAAUGCCGGGUGAGUGAUGAAGGCCUUGGGGUUGUAAAGCUCUUUUCCCCGGGAGGAUAAUGACAGUACCGGGAGAAUAAGCCCCGGCUAACUCCGU
RNAcentral lists this ribosomal RNA (432 nucleotides) under uncultured bacterium. Its description in RNAcentral is "partial 16S ribosomal RNA". It matches the Rfam family "Bacterial small subunit ribosomal RNA", at positions 29 to 506 of the family's 1533-position model. The record is from RNAcentral.